GACGAACGCUGGCGGCGUGCCUAACACAUGCAAGUCGAACGGAAAGGCCCUGCUUUUGUGCGGUGCUCGAGUGGCGACCGGGUGAGUAACCCGUGAGUAACCUGCCCUUGACUUUGGGAUAACUUCAGGAAACUGGGGCUAAUACCGGAUAGGAGCUCCUGCUGCAUGGUGGGGGCUGGAAAGUUUCGGCGGUUGGGGAUGGACUCGCGGCGUAUCAGCUUGUUGGUGGGGUAGUGGAUUACCAAGGCUUUGACGGGUAGCAGGCCUGGGCGGGUGACCGGCCACGUUAGACCUGGAAUACGACCCAGACUCCUACGGGAGGCAGCGGUGGGGAAGGUUACACAAUGGACGGAGGCCUGAUGCAGCGACGCCGCGUGCGGUAUAACGGCCUUCGGGUUGGAUUCCGCUUUCGUCUGUGACGAAGCGUGAAUGACGGUAAUGGGUAAAGAAGCACCGGCUAACUACGUG
This 468-nucleotide ribosomal RNA is filed under the name uncultured bacterium. Its description in RNAcentral is "partial 16S ribosomal RNA". It matches the Rfam family "Bacterial small subunit ribosomal RNA", at positions 28 to 507 of the family's 1533-position model. The record is from RNAcentral.